This 2132-nucleotide unclassified non-coding RNA is filed under the name Leishmania donovani. Its description in RNAcentral is "gene:LdHU3.21.0360(CDS-product:hypothetical_prote in_conserved)". Lineage: Eukaryota; Euglenozoa; Kinetoplastea; Trypanosomatida; Trypanosomatidae. The record is from RNAcentral.
AGAGAGAGAAAGAGUACCACCGCUGCUUCGGACGCUUCCCAUGUACAAGGUAUUUCCUGUGCUCAUACCGCGGGCCGCGAAGGUACGUGCCCAGUGCCUGGAGCUGGGAAGUCUGAAUGACUACGGCACAAGCCCGUCGACGCUGGUUGCUGCGGCGCCGUCCGCUACGAACGUCUACACACUCGCCUUUGGCGAGCGCGAAGGUCUCGCCCCUGGAGAGCGACUGGAGGUGUAUGGCAACACGGUGCGACUCGUGCGAACCCUCGCCUACGGCUGCCCGCGAGGCGUCACCCCCGAGAGCGCCUUCACGGGACGGCUGAAGGAUGCGGAGCUGGCCGCUAUCACGGAGCAGCUGGAUUUGCUGAGGCGGGAGACGCGCAGGUCUGACACGCUACUGCAUACAGCGGAUGACAGCAACGCCAGCGGGCAGGCGCACAGGAGCGUAACUACGGCCGUUGGCGAGGAGCCCCUACGCCCGUCAGAAUGGAUGCUGCGAGUACCCGAUGUGGCCAACAGUCGCGUGCUCCGGAACGCGGUGCCGGAUGACCCACAGACGUGCUCUGGCAGGAGUCUAGCGGCCCAGCUGAGCAAGCUGCGCGUCAGCGAGGAGGAGGUGGUCGUGGCGGAGUGGGUAGGAAAGCCAAAGGGGGACAGUGAGGCCGCCGCCGGCGCGUCCGCAUGGUCGCCGCGGUUUUCAUCGGCGGGUGCCUCCACGCGCGCGGAUCGCUCAACGAGUGCCGCUGCCACGGCUAAGGAGACCAACCCUAGCAGCAGCAGUGCGGGCACGACAUCUGCGCUACCCUCCACUGCGUUCAAGGGCGGUGCCGUGCCGCCACCCGCCGCGGGUGGCACACUCCUCAUGGAGAACGGCGUUUGCUUCGGCAGCCCCGACUCGUGCGGACUACGAGCCCUCCGCACGGCUCGCCUUGCCUUCAUCUCCAGCAUCGAGCUCACCGCCAACGGCCUCGCUUGGCGGCAGCGUCGCCACACGUGCGAGGAGGCGCGUGGCUUGACUGUGCUCGACGCGAGCGCCAUCGACUUCACCUUCGCGCAGGCAGCUCUGCAGUCCACCCUGGAGCUGGGCCUGCACGCGGGUGCGGGGUGUCAGAUAUCUCACGUGCCGCUGACCGAUGCGGCGGCCGCGCACGUGGAGCCGCAGGCGGCAAGCUACAUCCGCGUCGUCGCCGCCGGGCCUGGUCGAGCAUUGCCAAGGCCCUUUGACUACCUGCCGACCCACUCGAUCGAUGUUGGCGCCUACACAGCGCACCUGCCUCUGCCCGUCGGACCUGCCGCAGAAGAGAAGGGCGGCGGCGGCGGCGGCGAGGGGUCGGCAGCCUCGAGGCGAGGAUUCAAGUCGCCUGGCAGAGAUGCGAGAGCAAAUCGCCAACAACUCGCCGUGCAGCUUUCCCAAGCGCUUGCGACGCUGCGCCGCGGCGCCUUCAUGCUUGUCACGUUUGUGCCGACGUGUUCCAGCGUGGCGACGCUGUACCAUCAAAUGGAAACGCAGCGGCGCGCGGAGGUGCUCAUCGAGCACAAGGUCGUGACGGAGGCGAAAGCGUGCAUCGCGGAGGCCAUCGCGCGCACCGGGCGGUGGGGCUUCAUCACGGACGAGGUGCUUCCUGCCGCGGACAGCGCGCAGGGCAGCUCCUUCUCUCUUGUCGUAAUGCUCGAGUGACACACCGCUCUUGAUCCGUGGGUGUACGUGAGUUUUCGGUGAUCGCGUGCGUGUGCACACGAUCGUGCGCGUUCGCCUCGUCGUGGCGCUGAGCGCCUCCCCCUCCCCCUCCCACCACACCACACAUGAAGUUCGCCACAGGGACAGAAAGGCGAAAGAAGGGAUCAGAGUGGGGCUGACCGGUCGCUAAGAGCUCGGAGGAGAGAAGACGGAGGUCGAUGACGGAUGCUUGCGAAGAGAGUCGGCACCCCAGCGUGUAUGACAAGGGUUGUGUCGAAGAUGGCCGUGCCGCUGGGCACAUCAAUGGCCUCCUCCACCCACCCCUCCAUCCCCCCCCCCUAUCUCUCGUGUGUGUGUGUGUGUGUGUGUGUUAUGCGCUCUCCCUACCGUAAUGCCCCGUCCUGGACCUCUUCGCUUCCUCGUCUCGCUCUCCACACACACCUACACACACACGCAG